GAUGAACGCUGGCGGCGUGCCUAAUACAUGCAAGUCGAACGAAACUUCUUUAUCACCGAGUGCUUGCACUCACCGAUACAGAGUUGAGUGGCGAACGGGUGAGUAACACGUGGGCAACCUUCCCAAAAGAGGGGGAUAACACUUGGAAACAGGUGCUAAUACCGCAUAACCAUAGUUACCGCAUGGUAACUAUGUAAAAGGUGGCUAUACUACCGCUUUUGGAUGGGCCCGCGGCGCAUUAGCUAGUUGGUAGGGUAAAGGCUUACCAAGGCAAUGAUGCGUAGCCGAAUUGAGAGGUUGAUCGGCCACAUUGGGACUGAGACACGGCCCAAACUCCUACGGGAGGCAGCAGUAGGGAAUCUUCCACAAUGGGCGAAAGCCUGAUGGAGCAACGCCGCGUGGGUGAAGAAGGUCUUCGGAUCGUAAAACCCUGUUGUUAGAGAAGAAAGUGCGUGAGAGUAACUGUUCACGUUUCGACGGUAUCUAACCAGAAAGCCACGGCUAACUACGUG
RNAcentral lists this ribosomal RNA (512 nucleotides) under uncultured bacterium. Its description in RNAcentral is "partial 16S ribosomal RNA". It matches the Rfam family "Bacterial small subunit ribosomal RNA", at positions 28 to 507 of the family's 1533-position model. The record is from RNAcentral.